GCCCAGGAACCGAUUCAGAUCAUCGUCACUGGCGUUGGCUGUGAGCGGCAAUCGACAUCGGGUCACCGGGGUUUUGUAACGCAGCUCGCUGGCCGCUACACCGCCUAAUCACGCACGCGCGCGCACACACGAUGCUGUUUAUUUAUUUGCUUAGUCCCAUCUCUGCGGACUGCUGCCACACACGCACACACACUGGUUCAUGCUGUUGCCCAACCGAGCGUAAUCUCACCCUCUCCCGCCCCCCACCCGAGGAUUCGAUGUUUGUAACGCACUAAAAGCCCCCUCCUUCCAAAGCGCGUGUUUGUGUUUGGCGAGAAGCCGUGGGUGUGCGUCGGGUUUGCCCGGAGAUUGCUGAGGUCAGACUCACGUGGUUGGCAGCGGUGUUUGGUUGGGUGGUGGUGGUGGUGGUGAGGACAAAGACAAAAGUUCCCCCCGUAUAGCCUACACAGACUGUUGAGCUACAAGGCACGUUCAUGCUGUGCGGGCGAUUUCCAAGAAAGGGCAAGACAGGGCCUUGAUUCACAAACACUGCGGUUCUUCGUACUCGUGGCCAGGAUGCUCACCACAAAACCAGCACCGUUCGUGGCCUCAAAACUUGUCAUUAAUAUGCAUCAUAGGGUGCUAAUCGGAGGUGCGGAGGAAGGACAACAAACUAC
Molecule: long non-coding RNA, 656 nt
Organism: Petromyzon marinus (sea lamprey)
Lineage: Eukaryota; Metazoa; Chordata; Hyperoartia; Petromyzontiformes; Petromyzontidae
Source: RefSeq, a predicted model, not a curated record